CUCUUUCCUGUCUACUGUAUCCACGUGGAAGAGUUACAAUUUUGUCUCAUCGCUGCAACUCGCCAACAGAGAGAGACAAAGUUUGAGAGUCAUGCGUCUUUCCCCGAAACAUGAACCGCCAAGUCGCGCCGCUUCUUAAUACACUUCUCUUUUAACACCUGAAGCCAGCCGCUCCAAUGUGUCUGGAGGAAACACGUCCAACCGAAGUCAGUUUGCAGGCGCACGGCCCGCCACGAGAAGUCACUAGAGCAAGCCAAGGAAGUCCCCCCGGCCAAAGCCGGAUGACGCUGGGCCAAUUGUGCGCAGCCCCAUGGGCGCACGGCCGGCUGUGACACAGCCUGGGAUCGAACCCUGAGGCUUAAGUGACGCCUCAGCACUGCGUGGUAGUGCCUUAGACCGCUGUACCACCCUUUGUUAUGAUAUUCUUGACAAUAUUUUACUGUUAGUUUGCAAGUGCAUGUCAUGUACUAACUGUACGUAAAGCCUGGCUGUAAUUGAUGAAAGUUGGCUAUACUGUACAUUAUUAUACAUGAUAAAUGUUGGCUAGCCCAUGCCCAUAGGCUAUACUGUACAUUAUUAUACAUGAUAAAAGUUGGCUAGCCCAUGCCCAUAGGCUAUACUGUAUAUUAUUAUACAUGAUUAAAGUUGGCUAGCCCAACACCAUAGGCUAUACUGUUCAUUGUUUUACAUGAUAAAAGUUGGCUAACCCAUGCCCAUAGGCUAUACUGUACAUUAUUAUACAAGAUGAAAGUUAGCUAGCACCAACACCAUAGGCUGUACUGUACAUUGCACUAUAUUGUAUUGUUAUCUAACGAGACAAUUGUUAUUGAUAGCCCUGUCUACUGUAUCCAUCUGGAAGAGAGGAGUUGGUGCAUGAGGGCAGCACAACAUUUCAUUUCUGGAUGUAUUUUUUUUCUUCAUCGGAAUAAAAGAUCGUCACCAACUCUAA
Molecule: long non-coding RNA, 949 nt
Organism: Oncorhynchus nerka (sockeye salmon)
Lineage: Eukaryota; Metazoa; Chordata; Actinopteri; Salmoniformes; Salmonidae
Exons: 2
Source: RefSeq, a predicted model, not a curated record